GCAGUCGAACGGCAGCACGAGAGAGCUGGCUCUCUUGGUGGCGAGUGGCGGAGGGGUGAGUAGUAUAUCGGAACGUGCCCUGUAGCGGGGGAUAACUACUCGAAAGAGUGGCUAACACCGCAAACGCCCUACGGGGGAAAGGGGGGGAUCGCAAGACCUCUCACUAUUGGAGCGGCCGAUAUCGGAUUAGCUAGUUGGUGGGGUAAAGGCUCACCAAGGCAACGAUCCGUAGCUGGUUUGAGAGGACGACCAGCCACACUGGGACUGAGACACGGCCCAAACUCCUACGGGAGGCAGCAGUGGGGAAUUUUGGACAAUGGGGGAAACCCUGAUCCAGCCAUCCCGCGUGUAUAAUGAAGGCCUUCGGGUUGUAAAGUACUUUUGGCAGAGAAAAAGAGGUACCUCCUAAUACGAGGUACUGCUGACGGUAUCUGCAGAAUAAGCACCGGCUAACUACGUGCCAGCAGCCGCGGUAAUACGUAGGGUGCAAGCGUUAAUCGGAAUUACUGGGCGUAAAGCGUGUGUAGGCGGUUCGGAAAGAAAGAUGUGAAAUCCCAGGGCUUAACCUUGGAACUGCAUUUUUAACUGCCGAGCUAGAGUAUGUCAAAGGGGGGUAGAAUUCCACGUGUAGCAUUGAAAUGCGUAGAUAUGUGGAGGAAUACCGAUGGCGAAGGCAGCCCCCUGGGAUAAUACUGACGCUCAGACACGAAAGCGUGGGGAGCAAACAGGAUUAGAUACCCUGGUAGUCCACGCCCUAAACGAUGUCAACUAGCUGUUGGGGCCGUUAGGCCUUAGUAGCGCAGCUAACGCGUGAAGUUGACCGCCUGGGGAGUACGGUCGCAAGAUUAAAACUCAAAGGAAUUGACGGGGACCCGCACAAGCGGUGGAUGGAUGUGGAUUAAUUCGAUGCAACGCGAAAAACCUUACCUACCCUUUGACAUGUCUGGAAUGCCCGAAAAGAUUUGGCAGUGCUCGCAAGAGAACCGGAACACAGGUGCUGCAUGGCUGUCGUCAGCUCGUGUCGUGAGAUGUUGGGUUAAGUCCCGCAACGAGC
RNAcentral lists this ribosomal RNA (1054 nucleotides) under Alcaligenes faecalis. Its description in RNAcentral is "bacterial SSU rRNA". It matches the Rfam family "Bacterial small subunit ribosomal RNA", at positions 57 to 1097 of the family's 1533-position model. Lineage: Bacteria; Pseudomonadati; Pseudomonadota; Betaproteobacteria; Burkholderiales; Alcaligenaceae. The record is from RNAcentral.